AUGCUUCAUUCAACCGCAUAUAUUCUAAACUUUAUACAAUACAUAGAAGAUUAGUAUGGCUCCUGUACGGGGAUGACACUUGAAUUUGCAAAGUAUCCCAUAUUUUA
This is a small nuclear RNA of Rattus norvegicus (Norway rat), 107 nucleotides long. NCBI's taxonomy places the organism in Eukaryota, Metazoa, Chordata, Mammalia, Rodentia, Muridae. The record is from Ensembl.